CUGGCGGCGUGCCUAAUACAUGCAAGUCGAACGGUCUUUCUAUGGAAGCUUGCUUCCACUGAGAAGAUAGUGGCGAACGGGUGAGUAACACGUGGGUAACCUGCCCAUAAGAGGGGGAUAACAUCCGGAAACGGGUGCUAAUACCGCAUAGUUUUCUUGAUCGCAUGAUCGGGAAAGGAAAGACGGCCUUUGUGCUGUCGCUUAUGGAUGGACCCGCGGCGUAUUAGUUAGUUGGUGAGGUAACGGCUCACCAAGACGAUGAUACGUAGCCGACCUGAGAGGGUGAUCGGCCACAUUGGGACUGAGACACGGCCCAAACUCCUACGGGAGGCAGCAGUAGGGAAUCUUCCGCAAUGGACGAAAGUCUGACGGAGCAACGCCGCGUGAGUGAAGAAAGGUUUUCGGAUCGUAAAACUCUGUUGUCAGAGAAGAACAAGUUGGAGAGUAACUGCUCCAGCCUUGACGGUAUCUGACCAGAAAGCCACGGCUAACUACGUGCCAGCCGCUGC
RNAcentral lists this ribosomal RNA (509 nucleotides) under uncultured bacterium. RNAcentral's name for it is "bacterial SSU rRNA". It matches the Rfam family "Bacterial small subunit ribosomal RNA", at positions 36 to 518 of the family's 1533-position model. The record is from RNAcentral.